This 265-nucleotide ribosomal RNA is filed under the name uncultured archaeon. RNAcentral describes it as "partial 16S ribosomal RNA". It matches the Rfam family "Archaeal small subunit ribosomal RNA", at positions 717 to 982 of the family's 1478-position model. The record is from RNAcentral.
ACACGACUACAUUAGAUACCCGCGUAGUCCCAGCCCUAAACGAUGCGCGUUAGGUGUAUCGGUGACCACGAGUCACCGAGGUGCCGAAGGGAAACCGUGAAACGUGCCGCCUGGGAAGUACGGCCGCAAGGCUGAAACUUAAAGGAAUUGGCGGGGGAGCACCACAACGGGUGGAGCUUGCGGUUUAAUUGGAUUCAACGCCGGAAAUCUUACCGGGACCGACAGCAACAUGAAGGCCAGGCUGAAGACUUUGCCGGAUUAGCUG